Molecule: ribosomal RNA, 427 nt
Filed under: uncultured bacterium
Lineage: Bacteria
Description: partial 16S ribosomal RNA
Rfam family: Bacterial small subunit ribosomal RNA
Source: RNAcentral
UGGGGAAUAUUGGACAAUGGGCGAAAGCCUGAUCCAGCCAUGCCGCGUGUGUGAAGAAGGUCUUCGGAUUGUAAAGCACUUUAAGUUGGGAGGAAGGGCAUUAACCUAAUACGUUAGUGUUUUGACGUUACCGACAGAAUAAGCACCGGCUAACUCUGUGCCAGCAGCCGCGGUAAUACAGAGGGUGCAAGCGUUAAUCGGAAUUACUGGGCGUAAAGCGCGCGUAGGUGGUUUGUUAAGUUGGAUGUGAAAUCCCCGGGCUCAACCUGGGAACUGCAUUCAAAACUGACUGACUAGAGUAUGGUAGAGGGUGGUGGAAUUUCCUGUGUAGCGGUGAAAUGCGUAGAUAUAGCAAGGAACACCAGUGGCGAAGGCGACCACCUGGACUAAUACUGACACUGAGGUGCGAAAGCGUGGGGAGCAAACA